UCCCCAGGUCCUUUGCUAGGACCUGGCUCACAGCAGCAAUCAACAAAUCCAGUGAUGAUCAGCGUCACUUGUGGCUGUCAGAAGACCCAUUCACCCUGGAUUGGUUGCAAGCCGGUUUCAUAUCAGGCCAGCCUUGGCUCAGAGAUCAUAGCCAGUGAGCAUGAAGAAGAACUUCAGAAGAGCGAAUGUUUCACAGUGCUUAAUGAAAUGGCAUCACCACAGAAUCACAAAGGAUCAGUCUAGCCACCU
RNAcentral lists this long non-coding RNA (249 nucleotides) under Fukomys damarensis (Damara mole-rat). RNAcentral's name for it is "lncRNA (ENSFDAG00000024800.1)". The record is from RNAcentral. Lineage: Eukaryota; Metazoa; Chordata; Mammalia; Rodentia; Bathyergidae.